AUAAUAUACGUGUACGGGGUCGGUAUUGCGGAUACUGUCGUUUCUGGGCAUUUUGUUGCCAUUCAACAGAAACCCUGAAUACCGUCACUCGUACAAAUAA
Molecule: microRNA precursor, 100 nt
Filed under: Manduca sexta (tobacco hornworm)
Lineage: Eukaryota; Metazoa; Arthropoda; Insecta; Lepidoptera; Sphingidae
Description: microRNA mse-mir-6097 precursor
Source: miRBase by way of RNAcentral